CAGAGAUCUUCUUUCAUUUAAGAAGAAGCCACCGUAAAGAAGAGGAAACAAGGCGUUUAAGGGACACUGACUCCCAUUAUUUUCUCCAGGCCUGCUUUGGCUAAAUCGACGGAGGCUUAGCUUAUUAUGUUUCGGGCGUUUAGCUAGCUUAGAGAAUAAAUAAAUCUAUCUCUAAAGGGGGAGCGGUACGACUAUUUUAGGUUAGAGGAAGGUUGAAGAGAGAAUAGCUAAAAUAGCCAGUCGGGUAGGCAAGUGCGGAUGACUGUGGUCAAAGUGAAUAUGUCUUGUUGAUCAACUGUUUGGUAUACCCAGUUCUGUAG
This 320-nucleotide long non-coding RNA is filed under the name Hordeum vulgare. RNAcentral describes it as "long non-coding RNA (HVUL_LNC017695)". Lineage: Eukaryota; Viridiplantae; Streptophyta; Magnoliopsida; Poales; Poaceae. The record is from RNAcentral.